GCUUACGGCCACACCUCCCUGAGAACGCCCUAUCCGUACUAUCUCGGAAAGCUAAGCAGGGUCGGGCCGGUUAUGUACUUGGCUGGGAGACCGACUGGGAAUACCAGGUGCUGUAAGCU
This 119-nucleotide ribosomal RNA is filed under the name Esox lucius (northern pike). The record is from RNAcentral. Lineage: Eukaryota; Metazoa; Chordata; Actinopteri; Esociformes; Esocidae.